AUUUGAAAUGAGAGCUGAUUUUAUUUGAAAUCUUAAUCUCUUCUCUUGCUGUCUUCGUCCGCCUUUAGUAGGCAUCGAGGUAAUACAAAAGAAUUAUCAAUGUUCCGAGGAAGUGGCGUAAGACGGGGGCCACGCUUAUUGGCAGCGACAGUCGUAACAACAACCUCGGAUACUCGUAUAUAUGAACUUGAAUAUAU
Mycetomoellerius zeteki is the source of this 197-nucleotide long non-coding RNA. RefSeq lists it as uncharacterized. The record is from RefSeq and is a predicted model, not a curated record. Lineage: Eukaryota; Metazoa; Arthropoda; Insecta; Hymenoptera; Formicidae. The transcript is spliced from 3 exons.